GAAGCACUAUGGCAAGAUAAGUGUAAGAAGUCGAGGGUUUGGCUUUGUGACGAGGAGAAGUAAGUAAAGCAGGGCCUCUGGUUGAGUAUGAGCAUAGAAUUGCCAUGAGUGAUCUUGUGGAUGGGGAUAGUAGUCAGGAUGAUUUCUUACCAAGAAUGUCAACCCCUUGGAACGUAUAUUUAAAUUUCUCUUCAGAUGGAUGAACUCGUGCAACAAGCUGAAAUUGUACAGGACUAGUUGGCAUUUGUUUCAUUUUUUGAAAGAUUAUAUAUUUUUGGAUGUGUAUGAAAAAUAUUUGGGUAGACCAUUAGUUAUAUUUUUAAAUAAAUGCGUAUGGAUAAAAAUUUGAAACAUAAUAACAAGUACUUGUUAUGUUUUAAAUUUUUAAGCUAGAUGGAUGUGAAUUGGAUGAUUAUAUAGAUUACGUGACAUUUUGGAU
Molecule: non-coding RNA, 439 nt
Organism: Camellia sinensis
Lineage: Eukaryota; Viridiplantae; Streptophyta; Magnoliopsida; Ericales; Theaceae
Source: RefSeq, a predicted model, not a curated record